GGCCGGCUGGCUUAGUUGGUAAAGCAUACGACUCUUGAUCUCAGAGUUGUAAGUUCGAGCCUCACGCUGGGCG
This 73-nucleotide transfer RNA is filed under the name Felis catus (domestic cat). It matches the Rfam family "tRNA". From Rfam's summary of the family: Transfer RNA (tRNA) molecules are approximately 80 nucleotides in length. Their secondary structure includes four short double-helical elements and three loops (D, anti-codon, and T loops). Lineage: Eukaryota; Metazoa; Chordata; Mammalia; Carnivora; Felidae. The record is from Rfam by way of RNAcentral.